UCUGCAAAUAUACCUUUCACCUAUAUCUUGCCUCCGUCACAAUAUGAACCUGAAAAUGAAAUAUCACUGUCUGAUGCUGAAAGCAGCACAUUCGUGUACAUGGACAAAGUGACCCUCUCUUGUUGUUUGUUAAGCUAAAAACCAUUUUUUUUUUACCUAAACACAAAGAUGAUGAAACAGGGCUGGGACGCCAAUGCUGCAUCCAGGAUUUUUGACAUUGCAGUAUUCGGGACACACAUAACGGAUGUUUUUCGUCUGCGACAACACAUUAGAUUUGUUUAUUCAAGUACACUAUAAGUUUAAGCACAGUAGGCAUUACAUAGGGGGGCAAAACAAUUUAUAAAACAACGUAACACAACUUCUUAGCAUGCAUAACUAAAGAACAGUACAGUACAGUAAAACUUCGUUAAUAUGUACUUGCUUAAUAACUUCAGUUUAAAUAUAGUUGUGAUGAAUCCCCCACCCUGUCGCCAUUGAGCCUAAUGUAUUGGCUGGUGCUUAAGCCGUAGUCGCUUAACGCAUGCCAAAUGGUUAGCGUAGUAUUUACCCCAUAUUUCGGCACCUACAAGUGCAUAAUCGCAAAAUGUCAUGCGCGCAGAUGUAGAUAAAUUUCGGCACAUGAACCUUUCCAAAAAACUGCAUGGGUACCGCCCGUGACCUUUGGUCUGGAUCGAAUCAAGUGGAGACAAAUUAACGGAAGUCUACUGUAUAAAGUCUUAAUUGCAACUACAUUUAUGCAACAAACUGUCACAAGUCGAAAUAAACACAGCGGUGCAUCUGUUACAGGGACAAAAAAGAGAAACAUGAUUUAAGCUAUGUUAGUAAAUUACCCUUCCAGAAUACCAAAAAAGCCACUCUUACUGCAAGAAGACACCUGGUAAGCCAGAAGAGACUCAAAAACAAAUAAUGGGUGGCGACGCCACCUUGUGAAGAUUCCGCACCAGCCUGCCGUGACGUCAUAUAUUUCGACUUCGUCUGCUCAGGACAAGUAAAAUUUUUCUGAGUAAAACUGGACUGCAUUGUAUUAUAACAGAGCCAAAGAGAAGUAAAGAAGUUUUAAGGACUUUUGCCUACCCACAGCGGCUGAAAUGUGAAAAAAUACUUUGCAAUCUGUGACUUCACACUAACAUACCGAUUCUGGAGCAUUGCCACAAAAUUAAAAAAUUUAACUUUGAUUAUCAUUUUCCCUUUUAAUUGUCAACCUAUUUACGUGAAUUCCACAGUAGUAGAGUUCUUUAAGAAUACUUUAUCAAUGAAAAUUGAUUCAGUGUUUCUGUGAAGUGUUCCAUUCAAGUGUGCCAAGGAAUGUCAAGGGACCGCGCCACCUGUACGUAGCUCGGUGCAGAGAAAAGCAGCAAGAGUAACAUGUGCUGUAACAGUGGAAUGCAUGUUUGACAUCAGUGUGAUCAAACAGCAACAAAAUAUUUUUACAUCUCAAAAUGUGAGGAAAACAACAUACUGCACUUUGUUGCAUUUGCAUACAGCAUCCCAGUGGCUAUAGCAUUCACCUGUUGAGCACUGUUACGGAUUCGAUUCCUGGCCACGGUGGCUGCAUGUGCAUCAACUAUUGGGUACUGGCUUUUGAAAACCCCAAUGAGUGAAAAUUAGUCUGGAGCCCUUCAUAAGGGCCACUUUGACAUAACCUAUGUGUUGCUUCGGGUGGUUAAACCCAAUCGACCAAUCAAUAAAUCAGUUACUUUGCUACAGUGCUCAAUUUGUACUCAGGCUGGUUAACCAGCAGCCACCUAUAUGCCCACCUGUUCUGAACUGGAAGCCACAUAUGUAUUUUUUAAUCUGUCCCCGUCUUUGUUUUGAUUUACAGUAGUGGCUGCCUGUGGAAAUCAGAUUGCAGCAGCAACUUCAGCAGGAAGCGAGGCCCUCCAGCAACCAGGGGUACCAGCGAAGCCACUGGCUACCGAGUCCUCCGCAUCUCUGGCUCAGCGGCUCAAGGCCAUGACUCCCCGUUCACGGGAGGGGGCUCGACUCGUCUACCUUGGUCGGAGUCUGAAGGAAGAGGCCAUUGCAGAUGAGGUGCAGAUGGCACAGCUUAGGGCCUCCGCCGCCUCCAAAGCCCAGCGGCUGGCAUCUGCAGAGAGAAGGCAUCAGGCCUGGGCCGAGCUAAGUUCACAUACUGGAGAUGCUGAACCAAGAAGCCCUUUAAAGGAAGCCAACCAGAAGACUCAAAGUUCUGCAGAAAGUGGCAAAGAUGAAAUACUGGACGACAUGGCGUAUUGGCCACCAAUGAAAUUUUUUAUGGACGACAAAGAGAAUGAAGACUCAUCGUAGCGAUUGUAGUAGUCUUGUACAAAGGGUGUACUUAUCCUGCACUUGCUUGCAUCAUUUUAAUUGUUUUUAGCUUUUGACUUCAGAAUUCAGACAUUUAUUAAGUGCAACUUUUAUUAAAAUUUUUGCAACUUCUGCUCAUGACCAGAACUUCUGCUAGGCUGUGUGGCAAGGUGUUCCUAGUGCACCAAGCUCUACAAGAUGGGCGAAAGACUUCUCACUAUCCAGAAUUCAGAAGUGCUACCGAAGGUACACUGUAUUUCAAAAACAUGGAGCAAGAAUUAUUCAGGAGGCGAAACAAUGCUCUCCCCUGCAACUCAGCAAGGUCACUAUGCAUGGCACAGCGCAAAGGCGCCAUCUCAUGUGCGCACUUUAUAGUGAAAGGUAUAGGGUGAGGAGAGCAGGCACUGAUUCAAGGUCAUUCUGGCAUUCGCCGCUCUUAAGCCGAGGGAGAUACGUUCUUAAUACAAGUUGCAAAACAACACAAGGCACGAUUUCUUUUUUCAUCUCGAAAGCUAGUACUAUUGGUGAGAGCACAUUUACUUUCUUCUUAUUUUUUGCAAGAAUAUAUCUUAGGGACGCAUUAGCUGGAAAAAGCAAUACAUUUGGCACCUUCCAUGACUUUUUAUGCAUUGCAUUAAGAGCUAUGCAUUGUUGGGUAAGACAAUGUCUUAUUUUCUUACAAACUUAUCUAACAAGCCCAUGUGGGGUGAUGAAUCAAAUGCCAGUGGCAUGUACAUUCGCGAUGGCAGAGUUACCGGUACUGUAAUGUCUGGUGUUCUUGUCUGCAGUGUCGCUGCUACUGGUGCUUGCACUCGAACGGUUCCAAGCAAGAAUAAAAGAACUACUGUCCGCAGACUCUAGGCAAACAUCAGAGGCGACAGGACACACGGUUGAUUCUUUACAGGUCUUUUCAGCUUACUUCGCCUUCAAGCUCACCAUAGUUCUGAUUUCGCUAUCUGUCACUCUCCAUAAAUUGAUUCUUGCAGACAUAGUCAUGUGAGCUCCCAAUCUUUCCUUUGAAUGGUACGAGCCCAUGCUUGCAAUCGUGAUGGCUCAUCAGGAUAUUUAAGGAUAAUUACCUUUUCCCUGCAGGGUGCGUAACCAUUGCUAUAAUUCAGUACAAUGCAUUUGCACCCCAUCCUCAAAUCAUACAAAUGGAAGGUGCUCGCCAUUGCUGUCAUGGAGAUCCCGAUCUCAUGGUCAUGUGGGCAUGAGAAGCCUGCUGAAAGUACGUGCAAUAUAAUACAAGAGCAACUGCGAAAGCACUUCGCUACUAAGAAAAGCGUCAGUCAGUGCUAGCCACAAAAGCUUGCACAGCUUGUCACACCCUGCCUGGAUGAAAACAAUCGCAGCAUUGUUUCACGAGGACACCUACCACACAAUCAAAUAGCAUGCAAGUCUGUAACUUUGCGGCAUCAGCAGGCAUUGUCUGCUGGCGAGUUGCUCCUAACAUUUCUUUUGAGGCUUUGCGGCAUGUAAUUGGAGCAGUAUUAGGAAUAACUAUGCAUGAAACUGAGCAAAGUUUGCUACGUAUGGAGCACUCGCAUAAUUUUUUUAGUGCCACUUCCAUCGAAGCACAUCCAAUGAAAAUACGCCAGCAGCACCGUCUCUCAUGAUGCACUGGAAACAUUUGGUUUCCUCCUCAUCCGGCGUGAUGCUACCUUGCCGCUCGAGUGCAUUGGCAUUGUUGGUUGGCACAGAUGAAAAGAUUCCUCUCCUGAAUAAUUCUAGCUUCGUGGUCGAAAGCUGUUGGCAAGGCCCCUAUAAUGUUUCCACGUUUUCAAAAAAGUGAAGUGUGAGAGAGACCCCGCUCACCUCCAUAUUUUUUAGCUGCAAGACUUACUGUGGUGACCCCACAGAAAGGUCCAUCGAGAGAUCUUGUCACUCAUGGAGUGGCUUCACAACUUUUGACAUAGCCUGUGCACAACAAGCUCCAUGAAAACACAAGCUGGCUCGGGCCAGACUUGCGGUGACCAGUAAACUCUUCAAAAGCUGGUGCAUACCACGGUUAGUAAACUGACUAGACUGGUUGGUGCAGGCUUUGAUCAGUGUAAGCAAGUACAGGUGUGAGAUGGUGACUGAGAUGGAAAGUCCUCUGAAUCAGCAAUUUUUUAUUGUUUGUACAGGUGCAAGUUUUCUCGUGUUUGUAAAUAGUAACUAUAAAAGUCAUUUAAUGCUCUUUUUGUCUCACUGUUGCAUUUCUUUUUUACCAUUGAAACCAUGCAGUCAUUUCUAAAUUUACAUUAUAAGAAAGACCGAGUCAAGCUAUUCCGUUAGAAACUGUUGUAAUAUCAAAAUAAACUCGUGUUUGAAAUAAAAUAUUUGAAGUCCUCUGCAUAUAACUUGAGGAUGACCAACAAUGUGUCAUCUUCAUUAUGCAUUGUACCAUGCAUGUAAACUUUUGCACUUGCCACCUAUUACAGUUCCCACAAGGUCGCAUUUUUCUCCACGCUAUAUCUUGUCAUUGCAUGCCUCGCACAUUUGCAAUGGUUUUAAUGAUCAGGAACAACGCCCACAGGUGCUUUUCCAUGCAAAG
Long non-coding RNA from Dermacentor silvarum, 4822 nucleotides. RefSeq lists it as uncharacterized. Lineage: Eukaryota; Metazoa; Arthropoda; Arachnida; Ixodida; Ixodidae. The transcript has 3 exons. The record is from RefSeq and is a predicted model, not a curated record.